RNAcentral lists this unclassified non-coding RNA (374 nucleotides) under soil metagenome. RNAcentral's name for it is "partial contains internal transcribed spacer 2 and large subunit ribosomal RNA". The stretch from base 1 to 120 matches the Rfam family "5.8S ribosomal RNA", at positions 35 to 154 of the family's 154-position model. The record is from RNAcentral.
GAUGAAGAACGUAGCGAAAUGCGAUAAUUGAUGUGAAUUGCAGAAUUCCGUGAAUCAUCGAGUCUUUGAACGCACAUUGCGCCUCAUGGCAUUCCAUGAGGCAUGCCCAUCUCAGCGUUAGAAAAUAUUCUCAAAUUUUAGUUUUGUGCUAAAAUUUGGAUCAUGUCAAGGAAGCUAUUACUAUUAUUGUGAUCGCUCUUUGGAAAUUGAUAGGUCUUUGAGUUGCUACUCAUAGAACGUGAUGAAUCUUUCUUCGUUCUAUUGUAAUUCACUCUGGUAGUCCUAAAACUUGUAUGCCUGUGGCAUAUCUUGUAAUUUGACCUGAGAUUGGGUAGGGAUACCCGCUGAACUUAAGCAUAUCAAUAAGCGGAGGA